Molecule: long non-coding RNA, 7714 nt
Filed under: Cricetulus griseus (Chinese hamster)
Lineage: Eukaryota; Metazoa; Chordata; Mammalia; Rodentia; Cricetidae
Description: lncRNA (ENSCGRG00015038937.1)
Rfam family: mir-24 microRNA precursor family (bases 1002-1069)
Source: RNAcentral
CCAGGCCUGAGUUAUGCCUCCGGUCCAAGCUGCCCCCAAAUGUCACCUGCUCAGCAGGGUUAGGGAUAGGUGAGGUCAGGGCCAGAGUAGGGUGUAAGGGUGUACCAAUAUCUCAAAACUCCAGACACCGAGGGAGGGCUGAGUCAGGUCAGCCUGGUCUACAGAGAGACACUGUCUCAAAAUAAGAGAAAAGAAAAAAGCCAACAGUCCACAUGGGAGGCAGGAAUGAAGAAACAUCAGACCUUAAGGAAUGAAGCUGGGAAGCUUUUAUUUAAUUGGAAAACAGGCACAACAUUCAAUACAAGCUCCACCUCUCUGUUCUUCCACCCAAGCCUCCAUUUGCCGCUACCCAGGGUUGGGAGGGGACACUGGGUGAUCUGGGAAGUGUAACUUAACCCCAUGCCAAUGCCUGCAUCCUGUCUGGUUUGGAGAUACAGGCAACUUUUUAACUUCCAAGCCUGGAGACUACUCCAGCAAGCCCCAGUACCAGGGGAAGGGGUGGAUCUGUUCCUACCCUUUUAGGGCCCUGUGGACUUGCUCCCUGAAUCACUGUCUCCAGUGGAAAGCUGCAGGCCUCGUGGGGCACCAAGCACACCGGGUAAGGUCAGUGCUUUGUUGCGGAAGCUGGGAGUUGGCAUUUAACUGUCAGAGGGCCAAAAGCAGCUUCCUCUUGGGUAAGUGACUGCAGGGAAGGUGUAAGGGGUGGUGCCUGGGCCCCGCUGGGCUUAUGAGAAGAAGGGCUGCAGGCCCUGAGGGGGUACAGCUGGCCUGCCUUUUAUGCAAGGGUCAGCCACUCAUCCAUCUCUUCUCUGUGGGGACCAUAAAAAAUCUCAAGGUGUGGCCAUGUGGAGUGGCAUAUCCAGAUGAAGGUUAGAGGAAGGGCUAUAGCAGAUAGCUGGGCCUAGGCACAACUGAUGGGCCCACUCCUCCCAGGUCCCUACUCCAUCCAGGUCUCAAGUCAUGACAGACAUUCUGUAGGGGUGCCAGCUCCUAGGGGGCUGGACUCCUGUUCCUGCUGAACUGAGCCAGUGCACUGGAAUCAACUGUUUCAGCUCAGUAGGCACAGGAGGCGGAGCCCAGGGAGAAGGAGGCAGAGCAGGGUGGGCAGCAGAGUCUGAGGAGAUGGGGCCCGGGGGAGCGGAACUUAGCCACUGUGAACACGACUUGCUGCGGACCUUGCUCACAAGCAGCUAAGCCCUGCUCCUCAGGCCAGUUGUCAUGCUGGGCUUCUCUCUCACCCAGUACCCAAGAUAGGCAGUCAUCCUUGGCAACUGGAGCCUCCAAGGCAGAGCACAAGGUCAGUUGGAAAUCCCUGGCAAUGUGAUUUGUGACUGGCAUCAAAUCCCAUCCCCAGGAACCCCAGCCGGCCAAGGCACAGUGAGGGGACAGCAAGCAGGAUCGGAGUGUAGCACCUAUGGAGAAAAAGAGAGGAGAGAGAAUGAGAUAGGGAAUAUUCCUGCUUGCUGGCUUAUCAUUUCUUAUUACAUGGCAGGGUCUCCCAUGGCUGAGGCAGUUUCUGAACUGGUGAUUCCCCUGCCUCCACCUCUGGAGUCUAGAAUUACAGGCUCACCUCAACACCCUCAGUUUACAUGGUGCUAGGGACAGAGCUACACCCCAGCCCUCCAUCUGCUUCCAGGACAGAAGCCUCCCCACAGAGGAGCAUCCUAGGGAGAACUGAGUGAGCCAGCUAGAUGCUGGGCUCCCAGGAGUGCCUCUAGCCCCAGCCCUACAAAGUCGGAGGUGCCCAGGAAGCCCUACAGGCCAGACAGGACACAAAGCCCCCUCAGCGCUUUCCACUCAGUCUGUUUCUCUCUCCACCCACAGCCCUGAGCCCAAAGCAGGCCAAAUGGGGCCAAGGAGAGAGGAAGCUGAGGGAGGUGGGUGGUUGAGGGAGGAAGUGACCUCACCCCAGCUGGCGCCACUUCCUAGAAGCCUGAAAGGCAGAGGGAACUCCAGUACCUCCUCCUCCUGCCUCCAUAGCUGUCUCCUCCACAGCCUGCUCAGACACACCCCAGCCCCACCAACUCAGCACCCAUGCUGGGAGAAGCAGGCCUCUCUACCCCAAUAACUCAGCAAAGUUUAAGCAUCUGCUCCUCAAGUUUCCCAGAGGCCUUCCAAGCCUCAGUUUCCCCAUCUGUAAAGUAGACCAAGAAUAAUUGUGGUUGGUGGCUCAAGUUUAUCUCAGCAUUGGGGAGACUGAGGCGGGAGAGUUGUCAAGAAUCAAAGGCCUGCUUAAGCUACAUAAUGAGUUUUAGGCCAAACUAGGCUACAGUCUGAGACCCUAGUCUUAAAACAAACAAAGACCCUCUACCAGGUAGGUCAGUAUAAAUUUACAGAGAAGAAGCUAUUUGAUACUCAGCAUCCAAUGUAGAAUAGCUCCUACAUGCCAAUUAAAAGUUUCAGGGCCAGCAAGAUGGUCCAGCUAGUAAACAUACUCUCCAUCAAGCCCAAUGCCAUGAGCUCAAACUCCAAGAAACACAUAGUAGAAAAACAUACUGACCCCUUGCAAAUCAUCCUCGAAUCUCUCUGCACUUGUGACCACACACACUCAAAUGUAAAAAAUUCAGGAUUGGAGAGAUGGCUCAGGAGUUAAGAGCAGUUGUUCUAGCAGAGGACCUACAUUCCCUUCCCAGAACCCACCUGGUAAUCACAGCUGUCUAUAACUCCGUUCCAAGAGUUAGAGACAUAUAUGCUCUCUUCUGUCCUCUGUGGGUUCCAGGCACACAUAUGGUGCACAUGCAUACAUGCAGGCAAACACUCAUACAAUAAAAAUAAAUUGUCAGGAAUGGUGGUAUGCACCUUUAGUUCCAGCACUUGAAAGGCAAAGGUAAUCAGAUCUCUCUGAGUUGUUCAAGGCCAACCUUGAGUAGGGAGUUUUAGACCAGCCAGAGCUACAUAGUGAGACUGUCUCUCAAAUAAAGCAUGGAGAGAUGACUCAGUGGUUAGGAGCACUAGCUGCUAUUGCAGAGGACCUGAGAUCAGUUCCUAGCACCCACAUCAGGUGGCUCACAAUGGCCUGUAACUCCAGCUUCAGGGGAUUUCACUCCCUCUUCUAGUCUCCGAGGGCACUGCACUGACAUGCACAAACCCACACACAGACCAGACAACUGUGUUUUAAAAAAAUUCAGGGUCUGAGGUGAUAGGUCAGUCAAUAAAGUGGUUGCCAUGCAAGCACAAAGCCCCGCCUUGUCCCCAGGCAUGGAAGCUCACACUUGUAAUUCUGGUCUUUGGAGGUAGAGCCAAAAAGACCCCCUAGGGUUCACAAGCACCAGCCACACCUAUUGGUCCAGCUCCAGGUCCCAGUGAGAUACCCUGUCUGAGAACAAGGGAAGGGCUGGGAGAUGGCUUUAGUGGUAAAGAGAGCUUGUUGCCCCACACCUCCCCCCCCACACACACAUACAGGGUUUCUCUGAGUAGCCCUGGCUGUCCUGGAACUCACUCUGUAGACCAGGCUGGCCUCAAACUCACAGAGAUUCACCUGCCUCUGCCUCAAGAGUGCUGGGAUUAAAGGCGUGUGCCACCAUGCCUAGUAGCACUUGUUCUUGCAGAGGACCUGAGUUCAGUUCCUUGCAUCCACACAGUGGCUCACAACCAUCUGUAACUCCAGUUCCAAGAAAUCUCUUUGACCUAGGACACCAGGCACACACAUUCCUGAUAAACUGCACUUGAGGUUACACUCUGUACACACGCACGCACGGAGGAGGGUAAGAUUUUCAGACAGCUCAUGUGUCAUAAAAGCCUACAGUAGCACACACUGAUCCCAGCACACACUGAUCAGGAGGCAGAGGCAGGAAGAUCUACGGGACUUUGAGGCCAGCUUCGUCUACAGAGUGAGACCCUUUCUCUCAAAAGGAAAAAGAGUCGGGGAAAGGCCUAUGGCUGGGUGAAUUCAAUUCUGGAGCUUUGGGCCUGCCAGUGAGCUGUGCAGCUUCUUUGCUGGUUGACAUAGUCAAAGAACACAGCCUCUCUGGGACAAGUCUUUUUAUCUGCAAAAUAGCAAUAAUAAAUUAUUUUAGACCCUGGUAUAAUGGCAUGGACUUGAAAUCCCUGCAUCCAAGAGGGAUAGAGAAACUCAACCUAGAGGUCAGCCUGGGCUACCAAGUGAGACUGUAUUUCAAAAGAAAGGAGCUAGAGAAAUGGCUCAGUGGUUAAAAGCACUGGCUACUCUUUCAGGGGUUCCAGGUUCGGUUCCCAGCAUCCACAUAGUGGCUGGCAACUGUUUGUAACUCCAGUUCUAGGGAAUCUGACACCUUCUGGACUCUGCAGUCACCAUACACACAUGUAGACAAAACACACACAUAAAAUAAAUAUCUAUUUUUGUUUUUUUGAGACAGAGUUUUUCUGUGUAACAGCCCUGGAUGUCCUGGAACUUGCUCUAUAGAACAGGGCUGGCCUCAAACUCACAGAGAGCCUUUGCCUCCCAAAUUCUAGGAUUAAAGGUAUACAUCACUACCACCUGGCUAAAUAAUUUUUAAUUAAAGAAAAAAAAAAAGCAACUGGGGUGAGGCUCAAUGGCAACUUGCUGGCCCAGCAUACCAGUCCUGGCUCCAUCACCAGCACCUUAACAAUGAAAUGUUAUGGUAAAAACAUGUAAUCUCAGCAUUCAGGAGGUGGAGACUGGGGAUUAGAAAUUCAAGGUCAUCCUUGGCUACGGAGCAAGGUGGAGGCCAGCCUGGGAUACAUGAGACUCUCAAAACGAAAUCUUAGGGCUGAAAAGAUGGCUCGGUGGUUUAGAUCGCAUAUUGCUCUUUCAGAGAACCGGAGUUUGGUUCCCCAGCUCAGGACUACCUGUGGUUCCAACUCCAGGGGAUCUGGCACCCUCUUCUGGCUCUGUGGACACCUACACAUACAUGCACAUACCCAAAAAUAAAAGUCAAAUUCAUCUCAAAAAAGAGAGAACAUCUCCGCUUCCUAAGUAAUUGGGAGUCCUUGGAUGACAUCAGGACAGGAUUCUGUCAUAUCAACGACAAGCAGGACAAUGGCUCGUAAUAUAGAUCUGGCAUUACCUCUCUCUGAGGAAUAGGGAUUGAGAGAUGUUCUGCUGUGUCUCCCUGAACACACACACACACACACACACACACACACACACACACACACUGAGAGAUGAGAUGUUCUGCUGUGUCUCCCUGAACACACACACACACACACACCACACACACACACACACACUGAGAGAUGAGAUGUUCUGCUGUGUCUCCCUGAACACACACACACACUCACACACACACACACACACACACACACACACACACACACACACACCCCUACCUCCAUCACCACCGCACAUGAAUGCACGCUGACUACCCUCCUUUCCACCAAGUCCCAGCCCAGCUCUGUCCCUUUGGGGUCUGGGGGCAGCCCAGUGCCUCAGGCUGGCCAGCCUCCCCAGUCACCUCCGGAAGUGAGACAGCAUAUUCGUCCCGGGGACUAGAACGGGAAGGGCGGCCAUUUGGCCAGGCUGGUUUCCUGUGGGGUUUCCCCUACAAAGAGCCCAAGGCUGCGGCCAAGGCCACUCCCAUCCUCACACACCAGAGGUCUGUGUCUGGUGUGAAGGGACAUUACCACGCAGGUGUCCAGGAGCUGGGACAACCUGUACCAAAAAUUGUGCCUCUCUGCCUCAUAAGAAGAGGGGACCCAAAGGGGCAGAGGUCAGGCGCUGGAGACCACGGGGAACAGGGCGAGUCUUGGGCUGUGGCACCCCAGCCGGUGUCUGUACACACAGCCUUCAGGCCCUCGGCAUCUCUGGAGGACCCAUAGCGGACCCCAAGACGGAACCGGGGCAGAGGCCCCGCGGCGGUCCCCAAGCUUGAUCCUCAAAUACUUUCCACCCUCGCGCAGCAGCGAGGAUCGGAAAAUACCGAGGGCUGCAGGCCCCGCCCCACCCCGCCCCCGCCCCGGUCACCAGCGCUCGCUAAUGGCCCAGACUCUUCCCAGGAGCUUGGCGGCUGGGCCCGGGCCAGCCCGACCUGCGGCGCAGAUGCCUGCCCUCCACGCCGGUCCCCACGCAGGGACAGACAACCCGCUCGGUUUGGGGGCAGGGCAUGAGCAAGUGGGUGGGCCCGGUGCCGACCUGGGAGUGGAGGGGGCGCAGGAAGGGGUGAGGGAGUGCUGAAUCACUUGGUAUAAAUAGGGAAAGACAGCCACGUCCCACCCUCGCUGCCCGCCAGCCACACAGUCCAACCAAAUCCCCUACUCCAUUUCUUAAAAUUCCUUUUGCGGUGCUGGAGACGGACCCAGUGCCUGGCACGCGCUGGGCUAGUGCUCUACCACUGAGUCACAUCCCCAAUUCUUGCGUUCCCCUAAAGCCAAUUGGAGUCCACAGAGUGAAGUUCAUCCCAGGCCCUGGCCUAGCCUGGGACAGGAGAUGGAAGCAGGGACCUCCAACACUCAACUGGAAGGCUCUGGCUCACUCCCUUAACACUCCAAAACUUCCAGGAACUAGCCAGGCACCGUGAGGCAUGUCUGUCAUUCCACCAUUCAGAAGGCUGAAGCAGGAGGAUUGCAAUGUGUUCAAGACCAUUGUAGGCUAUGAAAUAUGACUGUCUCAAACCCCAAAACAGACUGGGGUGGAGUGCUUGCCUACUUUACAGGAAGCACAGGGUCAGUGGAUUCCAUCCUAAGCACAAAUCCUGCAUAGUGUUGCACACAGAUGGAAAAACUGAGGCAGAGACAUUCUCAGCGCUGUCUACACUUCCUCCAUAAAGAAAAGAACGUCCAUCUCAUACUUGAGAGAUGCAGGCUGGGGAGUGGGGAGUUCAAGACCACUGUUGGUUUUGUGGCAAGUGUGAUGCCAGCCAAGGAUACAAGAAACCCUGUUUCCAUCUGUUAAAAGGGAUGGAGAUGUAGCUCAGACAGUAGAGUGGUUCCUGGCUUGCACAGACCCUGGGUUCAACCCCCAGCACUUUGCAGGCCAGGAGUGAUGCAGGCCUGAGAUCCCAACACUCUGGCUGUGGCGACAGGAGCUUCCGAAGUUUGAGGCCAGCCUGGGACUCCAUCUCAAAAAGCAAAACAACUAGAAGCUGCUAUUGGAACAGGAACAGGGUAGGCACGGUGCUAGUGCUGCAUCCCAGAAAGCUGAGGCAGGAGAAUUGCAGCGAGUUCCAAGCCAACCUGGGCACACACUGUUCUGACUCAGCCUAUGCCCCAGAGAGACCCUCCCGUUCCCACACAGGCCUGUUUGCAGGGAAGUGCAGAAGGCUGGGGCUAGCUGGAAACAUCUGGCCUCCACUUGCAACAGGCACAGGGUGGCCAUGGCAUGGGGGUGCCUCGUGGGGCACCAGCCUUGGCUGUCUCUCUCCAGCAAGCAAGAAUCUGCCAAACUCAGAGGCCGGGCCAGCGCAGACAGGCCCGACCCCCUGGACACGCCCUGUCACGCAUAUGCGCCGCGUGCCAGCCCUGGGCUGGGCCCACAGCUAUUUUAAGGCCCCCUGGAAAGUCCUCAAGCAAGGCCUGACCAGUUGGGGGGUCUUAAGGAUGCUCUCAGGGUCCCCCACCCGGACAAAGACAGAGAGCCAUAAUGCUCCCCAGGGCUCGGGCCUCCGUGCUCCUCCCUUCUCAGCUCUGUGGUGGUGUGAACACAUGUGCCCAGGCUGGCCCAGGCACAGUGCGUGGGUGAGCGGCCCGGGCGAGCCCGCAUCACCUCGCCUGGAAGCCUGCGCACCUGUCGGGUUGCUCCUGCUUUGGGCUGGGCUGGCGGGGACAGCCCGGUGCCAGG